Molecule: ribosomal RNA, 482 nt
Filed under: uncultured bacterium
Lineage: Bacteria
Description: partial 16S ribosomal RNA
Rfam family: Bacterial small subunit ribosomal RNA
Source: RNAcentral
AUUGAACGCUGGCGGCAUGCUUUACACAUGCAAGUCGAACGGUAACAGGCCGCAAGGUGCUGACGAGUGGCGAACGGGUGCGUAAUUCAUCGGAACGUGCCCAGUCGUGGGGGAUAACUACUCGAAAGAGUAGCUAAUACCCCAUACGAUCUAUGGAUGAAAGCGGGGGACCGUAAGGCCUCGCGCGAUUGGAGCGGCCGAUGUCAGAUUAGGUAGUUGGUGGGGUAAGGGCUCCCCAAGCCAACGAUCUGUAGCUGGUCUGAGAGGACAACCAGCCACACUGGGACUGAGACACGGCCCAGACUCCUACGGGAGGCAGCAGUGGGGAAUUUUGGACAAUGGGCGCAAGCCUGAUCCAGCAAUGCCGCGUGCAGGAAGAAGGCCUUCGGGUUGUAAACUGCUUUUGUACGGAACGAAACGGCUCUGGUUAAUACCCGGGGCUAAUGACGGUACCGUAAGAAUAAGCACCGGCUAACUACGUG